This 30-nucleotide non-coding RNA is filed under the name Homo sapiens (human). Lineage: Eukaryota; Metazoa; Chordata; Mammalia; Primates; Hominidae. The record is from RNAcentral.
UGGUGUACAUGCAUCUGUUUGAGUCCUUGC